GUCGGGAGUUAGGAAAUGUGAGUUCGAUAAUACCGGUCUCACUUGACAAAGGCUCCAAAGGAAGCCACGGCUAACUCUGUGCUAGCAGCCGCGGUAAUACAGAGGUGGCAAGCGUUGUUCGGAAUUACUGGGCGUAAAGAGCACGUAGGUGGAUUUGUAAGUCGGAUGUGAAAGCCUUCUGUUCAACGGAAGAAUUGCAUCCGAAACUGCAAACCUUGAGUAUAGGAGGGGAGAGUGGAACUUCUGGU
Molecule: ribosomal RNA, 248 nt
Filed under: uncultured Planctomycetales bacterium
Lineage: Bacteria; Pseudomonadati; Planctomycetota; Planctomycetia; Planctomycetales
Description: partial 16S ribosomal RNA
Rfam family: Bacterial small subunit ribosomal RNA
Source: RNAcentral